Parasteatoda tepidariorum (common house spider) is the source of this 939-nucleotide long non-coding RNA. Lineage: Eukaryota; Metazoa; Arthropoda; Arachnida; Araneae; Theridiidae. The record is from RefSeq and is a predicted model, not a curated record.
UUUCAUUAAAUCUAUAAUAUCGUGAGCUUAGCAUAAUCUACGAUAUCGUGAGACUAGGAAAUUGUUCUGCCAGAUGAACAUAUAAACUUCGCCAGAUAGAAAAGUAUUUGUCAAAACUUGAAGGAAAUUAUAUGAUGAGUUAAUUGAAUCGAUGAAAAACAGGGGAAAAAAUAAUCCUGCAAACAUGAAUUCCUUAAGUAAGAAACGUUCUGAUUGAGAGGAUAUGGAUAUAAAUUUCGGCUUAUGAGCUAUAGAAACUAGAUUUAACUUUAAUCUUCAAUUAUGAACAAGUAUGAUUUUCUUUUGUUUCUGGUUUUUGCAACGUUGGUGACAAAUGUAUCGGUACAGACAUCAUCAAGGUUUUGUAAACGACAAAUAGAUUGCAAUAUUAAGGAGGAAUGUUGCUCUCAAAGUAAAAAUGGAACUUACUGCCAGAAAAGGCAAACACUUGAUUGAAAGAACUUCAGAAAAAGACGAUGGUUUCUCUUGACAUGGUAAGUGAUGAUUUCUGAAAAUGUUUUUUUUAAAUAAAGAAAAAGGGGGGUCAUAUUCGGAUUCAGGAGGUGUUUUUGCACAAAAAAUGUCGGGUCCGUUCGAAUCGUGAGAGACAAUAAGAAGAGCAAGCAUUUACUAUAAAAUAUAUUUUCGCACAUUAAUUAAGUAAUUUGUUGUUAAGUUAGAUCUUCCAUUUAAGUAAAUAAUUUGAAUAAGAUAAAGUGAUAGGAAGAAUAUUUUGUAUUCUGUUUCAUAGAGUCCGGUAGUUGUAAUUACAUUUGUACCUGACAGUAAUAGUUUCUUUCAAAACUUUAUAACGCUUUGCAGUUAUUACAUAAAUAUAUUUUUUGAAAUAGAUUUAAUUGUUUGGUUGCAAAUCGACCUAAGUUUAGCUUUUCUCAAAUUCUUAUUCCACUGUAAAAAAUUUAUAAGACAAAGUAGUUA